This 479-nucleotide ribosomal RNA is filed under the name uncultured bacterium. Its description in RNAcentral is "bacterial SSU rRNA". It matches the Rfam family "Bacterial small subunit ribosomal RNA", at positions 330 to 801 of the family's 1533-position model. The record is from RNAcentral.
UGCGAACUCCUACGGGAGGCAGCAGUGGGGAAUUUUGGACAAUGGGGGCAACCCUGAUCCAGCAAUGCCGCGUGAGUGAAGAAGGCCUUCGGGUUGUAAAGCUCUUUUGUCAGGGAAGAAACGGUAGUAGCUAAUAUCUAUUACUAAUGACGGUACCUGAAGAAUAAGCGCCGGCUAACUACGUGCCAGCAGCCGCGGUAAUACUUAGGGUGCAAGCGUUAAUCGGAAUUACUGGGCGUAAAGCGUGCGCAGGCGGUUGUGUAAGUCAGAUGUGAAAUCCCCGGGCUCAACCUGGGAAUUGCAUUUGAGACUGCACGGCUAGAGUGUGUCAGAUGGGGGUAGAAUUCCACGUGUAGCAGUGAAAUGCGUAGGUAUGUGGUGGAAUACCGAUGGCGAAGGCAGGCCCCUGGGAUAACACUGACGCUCAUGAACGAAGGCGUGGGGAGCAACCAGGAUUAGAAACCCUGGUAGUCCAGAUG